GACGAACGCUGGCGGCGUGCCUAAUACAUGCAAGUAGAACGCACAGUUUAUACCGUAGCUUGCUACACCAUAGACUGUGAGUUGCGAACGGGUGAGUAACGCGUAGGUAACCUGCCUGGUAGCGGGGGAUAACUAUUGGAAACGAUAGCUAAUACCGCAUAAUAUUGAUUAUUGCAUGAUAAUUGAUUGAAAGAUGCUAUUGCAUCACUACCAGAUGGACCUGCGUUGUAUUAGCUAGUAGGUGAGGUAACGGCUCACCUAGGCGACGAUACAUAGCCGACCUGAGAGGGUGAUCGGCCAAACUGGGAAUGAGACACGGCCCAGACUCCUACGGGAGGCAGCAGUAGGGAAUCUUCGGAAAUGGACGAAAGUCUGACCGAGCAACGCCGCGUGAGUGAAGAAGGUUCUCGGAUCGUAAAGCUCUGUUGUAAGAGAAGAAAGGGUGUGAGAGUGGAAAGUUCACACUGUGACGGUAUCUUACCAGAAAGGGACGGCUAACUACGUG
RNAcentral lists this ribosomal RNA (505 nucleotides) under uncultured bacterium. RNAcentral describes it as "partial 16S ribosomal RNA". It matches the Rfam family "Bacterial small subunit ribosomal RNA", at positions 28 to 507 of the family's 1533-position model. The record is from RNAcentral.